AAGUCUGGUGCCAUUCCGAGUCCCGCGGACGAACUUCGCCCACGCCCCCCACCAAGGCUAUAGCCCACCCGUUUUUUGGCCAUUUUUCCGCUGGCGGGUCUUGGGACCCCGGCCUUCGGGGGCUGUUUUUUGGGCGCGGCAGUGCCCGUGGCCUAUUUUUGGCACACGGAGGCCGCCCGCCAAGUCUGGUGCCAUUCCGAGUCCCGCGGACGAACUUCGCCCACGGCCCCCACCAAGGCUAUAGGCCACCCGUUUUUUGGCCAAUUUUCCGCUGGGGGGUCUUGGGACCCCGACCUUCGGGGGCUGUUUUUUGGGCGCGGCUGUGCCCGUGGCCUAUUUUUGGCACACGGAGGCCGCCCGCCAAGUCUGGUGCCAUUCCGAGUCCCGCGGACGAACUUCGCCCACGCCCCCCACCAAGGCUAUAGCCCACCCGUUUUUUGGUCAUUUUUCCGCUGGGGGGUCUUGGGACCCCGACCUUCGGGGGCUGUUUUUUGGGCGCGGCUGUGCCCGUGGCCUAUUUUUGGCACACGGAGGCCGCCCGCCAAGUCUGGUGCCAUUCCGAGUCCCGCGGACAAACUUCGCCCACGACCCCCACCAAGGCUAUAGGCCACCCGUUUUUUGGCCAUUUUUCCGCUGGGGGGGUCUUGGGACCCCGACCUUCGGGGGCUGUUUUUUGGACGCGGCUGUGCCCGUGGCCUAUUUUUGGCACACGGAGGCCGCCCGCCAAGUCUGGUGCCAUUCCGAGUCCCGCGGACGAACUUCGCCCACGGCCCCCACCAAGGCUAUAGGCCACCCGUUUUUUGGCCAAUUUUCCGCUGGGGGGUCUUGGGACCCCGACCUUCGGGGGCUGUUUUUUGGGCGCGGCUGUGCCCGUGGCCUAUUUUUGGCACACGGAGGCCGCCCGCCAAGUCUGGUGCCAUUCCGAGUCCCGCGGACGAACUUCGCCCACGCCCCCCACCAAGGCUAUAGCCCACCCGUUUUUUGGUCAUUUUUCCGCUGGGGGGUCUUGGGACCCCGACCUUCGGGGGCUGUUUUUUGGGCGCGGCUGUGCCCGUGGCCUAUUUUUGGCACACGGAGGCCGCCCGCCAAGUCUGGUGCCAUUCCGAGUCCCGCGGACGAACUUCGCCCACGGCCCCCACCAAGGCUAUAGCCCACCCGUUUUUUGGCCAUUUUUCCGCUGGGGGGUCUUGGGACCCCGACCUUCGGGGGCUGUUUUUUGGGCGCGGCUGUGCCCGUGGCCUAUUUUUGGCACACGGAGGCCGCCCGCCAAGUCUGGUGCCAUUCCGAGUCCCGCGGACGAACUUCGCCCACGCCCCCCACCAAGGCUAUAGCCCACCCGUUUUUUGGUCAUUUUUCCGCUGGGGGUCUUGGGACCCCGACCUUCGGGGGCUGUUUUUUGGGCGCGGCUGUGCCCGUGGCCUAUUUUUGGCACACGGAGGCCGCCCGCCAAGUCUGGUGCCAUUCCGAGUCCCGCGGACGAACUUCGCCCACGCCCCCCACCAAGGCUAUAGCCCACCCGUUUUUUGGCCAUUUUUCCGCUGGGGGGUCUUGGGACCCCGACCUUCGGGGGCUGUUUUUUGGGCGCGGCUGUGCCCGUGGCCUAUUUUUGGCACACGGAGGCCGCCCGCCACGUCUGGUGCCAUUCCGAGUCCCGCGGACGAACUUCGCCCACGGCCCCGACCAAGGCUAUAGCCCACCCGUUUUUUGGCCAUUUUUCCGCUGGGGGGUCUUGGGACCCCGACCUUCGGGGGCUGUUUUUUGGGCGCGGCUGUGCCCGUGGCCUAUUUUUGGCACACGGAGGCCGCCCGCCAAGUCUGGUGCCAUUCCGAGUCCCGCGGACGAACUUCGCCCACGGCCCCCACCAAGGCUAUAGCCCACCCGUUUUUUGGCCAUUUUUCCGCUGGGGGGUCUUGGGACCCCGACCUUCGGGGGCUGGUUUUUGGGCGCGGCUGUGCCCGUGGCCUAUUUUUGGCACACGGAGGCUGCCCGCCAAGUCUGGUGCCAUUCCGAGUCCCGCGGACGAACCUCGCCCACGCCCCCCACCAAGGCUAUAGCCCACCCGUUUUUUGGCCAUUUUUCCGCUGGGGGGUCUUGGGACCCCGACCUUCGGGGGCUGAUUUUUGGGCGCGGCUGUGCCCGUGGCCUAUUUUUGGCACACAGAGGCCGCCCGCCAAGUAUGGUGCCAUUCCGAGUCCCGCGGACGAACUUUGCCCACGCCCCCCACCAAGGCUAUAGCCCACCCGUUUUUUGGCCAUUUUUCCGCUGGGGGGUCUUGGGACCCCGACCUUCGGGGGCUGAUUUUUGGGCGCGGCUGUGCCCGUGGCCUAUUUUUGGCACACGGAGGCCGCCCGCCAAGUCAGGGGCCAUUCCGAGUCCCGCGGACGAAGUUCGCCCACGCCCCCCACCAAGGCUAUAGCCCACCCGUUUUUUGGCCAUUUUUCCACUGGGGGGUCUUGGGACCCCGACCUUCGGGGGCUGAUUUUUGUGCGCGGCUGUGCCCGUGGCCUAUUUUUGGCACACAGAGGCCGCCCGCCAAGUAUGGUGCCAUUCCGAGUCCCGCAGACGAACUUCGCCCACGCACCCCACCAAGGCUAUAGCCCACCCGUUUUUUGGCCAUUUUUCCGCUGGGGGGUCUUGGGACCCCGACCUUCGGGGGCUGAUUUUUGGGCGCGGCUGUGCCCGUGGCCUAUUUUUGGCACACAAAGGCCGCCCGCCAACUAUGGUGCCAUUCCGAGUCCCGCGGACGAACUUCGCCCACGCCCCUCACCAAGGCUAUAGCCCACCCGUUUUUUGGCCAUUUUUCCGCUGGGGGGUCUUGGGACCCCGACCUUCGGGGGCUGAUUUUUGGGCGCGGCUGUGCCCUUGGCCUAUUUUUGGCACACGGAGGCCGCCCGCCAAGUCAGGGGCCAUUCCGAGUCCCGCGGACGAAGUUCGCCCACGCCCCCCACCAAGGCUAUAGCCCACCCGUUUUUUGGCCAUUUUUCCACUGGGGCGGCUUGGGACCCCGACCUUCCGGGGCUGAUUAUUGUGCGCGGCUGUACCCGUGGCUAUUUUUGGCACACAGAGGCCGCCCGCCAAGUAUGGUGCCAUUCCGAGUCCCGCGGACGAACUUCGCCCACGCCCCCCAUCAAGGCUAUAGCCCACCCGUUUUUUGGCCAUUUUUCCGCUGGGGGGUCUUGGGACCCCGACCUUCGGGGGCUGAUUUUUGGACGCGGCUGUGCCCGUGGCCUAUUUUUGGCACACAGAGGCCGCCCGCCAAGUAUGGUGCCAUUCUAAGUCCCGCGGACGAACUUCGCCCACGCCGCCCACCAAGGCUAUAGCCCACCCGUUUUGUGGCCAUUUUUCCGCUGGGGGGUCUUGGGACCCCGACCUUCGGGGGCUGAUUUUUGGGCGCGGCUGUGCCCGUGGCCUAUUUUUGGCACACGGAGGCCGCCCGCCAAGUCAGGGGCCAUUCCGAGUCCCGCGGACGAAGUUCGCCCACGCCCCCCACCAAGGCUAUAGCCCACCCGUUUUUUGGCCAUUUUUCCACUGGGGGGUCUUGGGACCCCGACCUUCGGGGGCUGAUUUUUGGGCGCGGCUGUGCCCGUGGCCUAUUUUUGGCACACGGAGGCCGCCCGCCAAGUAUGGUGCCAUUCCGAGUCCCGCGGACGAACUUCGCCCACGCCCCCCACCAAGGCUAUAGCCCACCCGUUUUUUGGCCAUUUUUCCGCUGGGGGGUCUUGGGACCCCGACCUUCGGGGGCUGAUUUUUGGGCGCGGCUGUGCCCGUGGCCUAUUGUUGGCACACAGAGGCGGCCCGCCAAGUAUGGUGCCAUUCCGAGUCCCGCGGACGAAGUUCGCCCACGCCCCCCACCAAGGCUAUAGCCCACCCGUUUUUUGGCCAUUUUUCCGCUGGGGGGUCUUGGGACCCCGACCUUCGGGGGCUGAUUUUUGGGCGCGGCUGUGCCCGUGGCCUAUUUUUGGCACACGGAGGCCACCCGCCAGGUCUGAGGCCAUUCCGAGUCCCGCGGACGAACUUCGCCCACGCCCCCCACCAAGGCUAUAGCCCACCCUUUUUUUGGCCAUUUUUCCGCUGGGGGGUCUGGGGACCCCACCUUCGCGGCUGUGCCCGUGGCCUAUUUUUGGCACACAGAGGCCGCCCGCCAAGUAUGGUGCCAUUCCGAGUCCCGCGGACGAACUUCGCCCACGCCGCCCACCAAGGCUAUAGCCCACCUGUUUUUUGGCCAUUUUUCCGCUGGGGGGUCUUGGGACCCCGACCUUCGGGGGCUGAUUUUUGGGCGCGGCUGUGCCCGUGGCCUAUUUUUGGCACACGGAGGCCGCCCGCCAAGUCAGGGGCCAUUCCGAGUCCCGCGGACGAAGUUCGCCCACGCCCCCCACCAAGGCCAUAGCCCACCCGUUUUUUGGCCAUUUUUCCGCUGGGGGGUCUUGGGACCCCGACCUUCGGGGGCUGAUUUUUGGGCGCGGCUGUGCCCGGGGCCUAUUUUUGGCACACGGAGGCCGCCCGCCAAGUCAGGGGCCAUUCCGAGUCCCGCGGACGAAGUUAGCCCACGCCCCCCACCAAGGCUAUAGCCCACCCGUUUUUUGGCCAUUUUUCCGCUGGGGGGUCUUGGGACCCCGACCUUCGUGGGCUGAUUUUUGGGCGCGGCUGUGCCCGUGGCCUAUUUUUGGCACACAGAGGCCGCCCGCCAAGUAUGGUGCCAUUCCGAGUCCCGCGGACGAACUUCGCCCACGCCGCCCACCAAGGCUAUAGCCCACCCGUUUUUUGGCCAUUUUUCCGCUGGGGGGUCUUGGGACCCCGACCUUCGGGGGCUGAUUUUUGGGCGCGGCUGUGCCCGUGGCCUAUUUUUGGCACACGGAGGCCGCCCGCCAAGUCAGGGGCCAUUCCGAGUCCCGCGGACGAAGUUCGCCCACGCCCCCCACCAAGGCUAUAGCCCACCCGUUUUUUGGCCAUUUUUCCGCUGGGGGGUCUUGGGACCCCGACCUUCGGGGGCUGAGUUUUGGGCGCGGCUGUGCCCGUGGCCUAUUUUUGGCACACAGAGGCCGCCCGCCAAGUAUGGUGCCAUUCCGAGUCCCGCGGACGAUUUUCGCCCACGCCGCCCACCAAGGCUAUAGCCCACCCGUUUUUUGGCCAUUUUUCCACUGGGGGGUCUUGGGACCCCGACCUUCGGGGGCUGAUUUUUGUGCGCGGCUGUGCCCGUGGACUUUUUUUGGCACACAGAGGCCGCCCGCCAAGUAUGGUGCCAUUCCGAGUCCCGCGGAUGAACUUCGCCCACGCCCCUCACCAAGGCUAUAGCCCACCCGUUUUUUGGCCAUUUUUCCGCUGGGGGGUCUUGGGACCCCGACCUUCGGGGGCUGAUUUUUGGGCGCGGCUGUGCCCUUGGCCUAUUUUUGGCACACGGAGGCCGCCCGCCAAGUCAGGGGCCAUUCCGAGUCCCGCGGACGAAGUUCGCCCACGCCCCCCACCAAGGCUAUAGCCCACCCGUUUUUUGGCCAUUUUUCCACUGGGGCGGCUUGGGACCCCGACCUUCCGGGGCUGAUUAUUGUGCGCGGCUGUACCCGUGGCUAUUUUUGGCACACAGAGGCCGCCCGCCAAGUAUGGUGCCAUUCCGAGUCCCGCGGACGAACUUCGCCCACGCCCCCCAUCAAGGCUAUAGCCCACCCGUUUUUUGGCCAUUUUUCCGCUGGGGGGUCUUGGGACCCCGACCUUCGGGGGCUGAUUUUUGGGCGCGGCUGUGCCCGUGGCCUAUUUUUGGCACACGGAGGCCGCCCGCCAAGUAUGGUGCCAUUCCGAGUCCCGCGGACGAACUUCGCCCACGCCCCCCACCAAGGCUAUAGCCCACCCGUUUUUUGGCCAUUUUUCCUGCUGGGGGGUCUUGGGACCCCGACCUUCGGGGGCUGAUUUUUGGGCGCGGCCUGUGCCCGUGGCCUAUUUUUGGCACACNNNNNNNNNNNNNNNNNNNNNNNNNNNNNNNNNNNNNNNNNNNNNNNNNNNNNNNNNNNNNNNNNNNNNNNNNNNNNNNNNNNNNNNNNNNNNNNNNNNNNNNNNNNNNNNNNNNNNNNNNNNNNNNNNNNNNNNNNNNNNNNNNNNNNNNNNNNNNNNNNNNNNNNNNNNNNNNNNNNNNNNNNNNNNNNNNNNNNNNNNNNNNNNNNNNNNNNNNNNNNNNNNNNNNNNNNNNNNNNNNNNNNNNNNNNNNNNNNNNNNNNNNNNNNNNNNNNNNNNNNNNNNNNNNNNNNNNNNNGGGACCCCGACCUUCGGGGGGUGGAUUUUGGGCGCAGGCUGUGCCCGUGGCCUAUUUUUGGCACACGGAGGCCGCCCGCCAAGUCAGGGGCCAUUCCGAGUCCCGCGGACGAAAUUCGCCCACGCCCCCCACCAAGGCUAUAGCCCACCCGUUUGUUGGCCAUUUUUCCGCUGGGGGGUCUUGGGACCCCGACCUUCGGGGGCAGAUUUUUGGGCGCGGCUGUGCCCGUGGCCUAUUUUUGGCACACAGAGGCCGCCCGCCAAGUAUGGUGCCAUUCCGAGUCCCGCGGACGAACUUCGCCCACGCCGCCCACCAAGGCUAUAGCCCACCCGUUUUUUGGCCAUUUUUCCGCUGGGGGGUCUUGGGACCCCGACCUUCGGGGGCUGAUUUUUGGGCGCGGCUGUGCCCGUGGCCUAUUUUUGGCACACGGAGGCCGCCCGCCAAGUCAGGGGCCAUUCCGAGUCCCGCGGACGAAGUUCGCCCACGCCCUCCACCAAGGCUAUAGCCCACCCGUUUUUUGGCCAUUUUUCCGCUAGGGGGUCUUGGGACCCCGACCUUCGGGGGCUGAUUUUUGGGCGCGGCUGUGCCCGUGGUCUAUUUUUGGCACACAGAGGCCGCCCGCCAAGUAUGGUGCCAUUCCGAGUCCUGCGGACGAACUUCGCCCACGCCGCCCACCAAGGCUAAAGCCCACCCGUUUUUUGGCCAUUUUUCCACUGGGGGGUCUUGGGACCCCGACCUUCGGGGGCUGAUUUUUGGGCGCGGCUGUGCCCGUGGCCUAUUUUUGGCACACGGAGGCCGCCCGCCAAGUCAGGGGCCAUUCCGAGUCCCGCGGACGAAGUUCGCCCACGCCCCCCACCAAGGCUAUAGCCCACCCGUUUUUGGCCAUUUU
Molecule: long non-coding RNA, 7127 nt
Filed under: Citrus x clementina
Lineage: Eukaryota; Viridiplantae; Streptophyta; Magnoliopsida; Sapindales; Rutaceae
Description: Citrus clementina (C. clementina) long non-coding RNA (CCLE_LNC002228)
Source: RNAcentral